GGCCGGGUCCCAUGCAAGCCGAGCCCGCGAACCUGGUCAGGCGGGGAACCGAGCAGCCAUAAGCGAACGCUUGAUUGUGUAUGGCAAACCCGGCCACU
This 98-nucleotide signal recognition particle RNA is filed under the name Sedimentisphaerales bacterium. RNAcentral's name for it is "signal recognition particle sRNA small type". It matches the Rfam family "Bacterial small signal recognition particle RNA". Rfam says of the family: The signal recognition particle (SRP) is a universally conserved ribonucleoprotein involved in the co-translational targeting of proteins to membranes. The record is from RNAcentral. Lineage: Bacteria; Pseudomonadati; Planctomycetota; Phycisphaerae; Sedimentisphaerales.